UUUCCGUAGGUGAACCUGCGGAAGGAUCAUUCAUAAUAAAGUGUUUUAGGGCACUUUUUAAAAAUCCAUAUCCACCUUGUGUGCAAUGUUAGAUCUCGUCAAUCUUGGCGAGAUUUUUAUACAUCAACUCAUUCUUUAACUAAUUUGUCUGAAAAAUAUUAUGAAUACUUAAUUCAAAAUACAACUUUCAACAACGGAUCUCUUGGCUCUC
This 211-nucleotide unclassified non-coding RNA is filed under the name plant metagenome. RNAcentral's name for it is "partial contains small subunit ribosomal RNA, internal transcribed spacer 1, and 5.8S ribosomal RNA". The record is from RNAcentral.